GGCAGCAGCAAGGAAUAUUGCCCAAUGGACGCAAGUCUGAGGCAGCAACGCCGCGUGGAGGAAGAAGGCCUUCGGGUUGUAAACUCCUUUUCUGGGGGAAGAGAAAGGACGGUACCCCAGGAAUAAGUCUCGGCUAACUACGUGCCAGCAGCCGCGGUAAAACGUAGGAGGCGAGCGUUAUCCGGAUUUACUGGGCGUAAAGCGCGUGCAGGCGGUUUCCUAAGUCGGACGUGAAAGCUCCCGGCUCAACUGGGAGAGGUCGUUCGAAACUAGGAAACUUGAGGGUGGUAGAGGAGAGUGGAAUUCCCGGUGUAGUGGUGAAAUGCGUAGAUAUCGGGAGGAACACCAGUGGCGAAGGCGGCUCUCUGGGCCAUUCCUGACGCUAAGACGCGAAAGCUAGGGGAGAGAACGGGAUUAGAAACCCCGGUAUUCCUAGCCGUAAACGAUGUCAACUAGGUGUAGGGGGUAUCCAACCCCUCUGUGCUGCAGCUAACGCGUUAAGUUGACCGCCUGGGGACUACGGCCGCAAGGCUAAAACUCAAAGGAAUUGACGG
RNAcentral lists this ribosomal RNA (554 nucleotides) under uncultured bacterium. RNAcentral's name for it is "bacterial SSU rRNA". It matches the Rfam family "Bacterial small subunit ribosomal RNA", at positions 347 to 916 of the family's 1533-position model. The record is from RNAcentral.